GAUGAAUGAUGGCGGAGGGGAGAAUACAUGCAAGUCGAGCGAACAGACGAGGAGCUUGCUCCUCUGACGUUAGCGGCGGACGGGUGAGUAACACGUGGGUAACCUACCUAUAAGACUGGGAUAACUUCGGGAAACCGGAGCUAAUACCGGAUAAUAUAUUGAACCGCAUGGUUCAAUAGUGAAAGACGGUUUUGCUGUCACUUAUAGAUGGAUCCGCGCCGCAUUAGCUAGUUGGUAAGGUAACGGCUUACCAAGGCGACGAUGCGUAGCCGACCUGAGAGGGUGAUCGGCCACACUGGAACUGAGACACGGUCCAGACUCCUACGGGAGGCAGCAGUAGGGAAUCUUCCGCAAUGGGCGAAAGCCUGACGGAGCAACGCCGCGUGAGUGAUGACGGUCUUCGGAUCGUAAAACUCUGUUAUUAGGGAAGAACAAAUGUGUAAGUAACUAUGCACGUCUUGACGGUACCUAAUCAGAAAGCCACGGCUAACUACGUG
RNAcentral lists this ribosomal RNA (497 nucleotides) under uncultured bacterium. RNAcentral's name for it is "partial 16S ribosomal RNA". It matches the Rfam family "Bacterial small subunit ribosomal RNA", at positions 28 to 507 of the family's 1533-position model. The record is from RNAcentral.